CUCUAGGCUACCCUGCCGACCCAGAAUGAUUUGAUCCAUGACUGAAAUAGACCAUAUCUUCCCAUGUAAGAUGGGAAGACCGGAAACCCAGUGACAACACUCGGGUCUGGCCCUGUAUUUUCUAGAAAAUGUAGCUCAUCCACCAUGGCAGAAGAGGAAGACUGUCGGACUGUCAGACUGUCGAUUGGGAAAACAAGAACAGAAACGAUGAAAGUUGAGUGUUGAGGGACCACUUGGAUUUUUAGAUGCAUUGACAUUUUGACUUUGUCCUUUUCCCAUGUUUUAGACAUGAGGCGUGACAUGCAGAACAGGCUCACCCCACGAGAAGCUGUGCAUGAUUAAUUCCACCCUCAGCAAGGAGACCAGAGGGUACUCUCACUCUGGGGGUACAGGCAGGGGUGACUGGGUCCUUAAGCAAGUAAGACACAGGUACUGUCAGGAGGAGGAGUCUGUCAGAGGUUGUCACGCUGGAUGGGGAUGAGAAGAAGCAGACACAAAUAGGUGUUGUCAGCCACAAAACGUUAAAAAAGAAGAAGAAGCCUAUGAGCAGAGAGCACUUGACAAACAUUUGUCUUGAAGUAGAAUUACAGAAAUCAUUGCGGUGUUAAAACUAAACUUGAAGCUGCUUCAUUGGGCAUGUUGUUUAUAUGGAUUAAACAUAUGUUUGUGUUGAUAAAUACACAGGAAUAUAAAUUAAUUUAGUGAAAAGACAUGCAAGACUACUGUAACGGCAAUCCUUUCAAACAUGUUUUUAUUAUGGUAGGCUAAAUAAUUAAUAUUAGUGACUAUCACUAACACUCACUCAGAAUCACAGUGUUUUGUCAUGUAGGACUGUUCACAGCACAAGGCCCAAAUAAAUCAUUGUUGUGAUUAUUUAGGCUGUUCAUGUCUCACACUAAACACUAUUGACGCCAUUGUAAAAAUCCGUGGGGCUUGCCUUCACUGAUAUUCAGCAUCAAACAGUCACUGGAAUGAAGCAAAUAAUAAUCUCCUAGUUGACUUAAACAGGCCAUGUUAGCAUUAAGUGCUUAAACAGCUUAUGUAACUUUAACAUCAAACAGAUUCUCCUCAAGAAAAAUGCCUCAAUUGAUUUGACUGCUCACAAACUAAUCAGUCAUUGAAUGUAAAAUAAUGAUGAUGAUAAUAUAAACAAUUUGUACUAUAAUUAGCCACAACUGAAGUUCCCCUUGGGGAAAAAAAUACAAUUAUUCUAUUAAAUAAAAA
Molecule: long non-coding RNA, 1224 nt
Organism: Oncorhynchus nerka (sockeye salmon)
Lineage: Eukaryota; Metazoa; Chordata; Actinopteri; Salmoniformes; Salmonidae
Exons: 4
Source: RefSeq, a predicted model, not a curated record